RNAcentral lists this ribosomal RNA (477 nucleotides) under uncultured bacterium. RNAcentral's name for it is "SSU rRNA". It matches the Rfam family "Bacterial small subunit ribosomal RNA", at positions 26 to 518 of the family's 1533-position model. The record is from RNAcentral.
AGGACGAACGCUGGCGGCGUGCUUAACACAUGCAAGUCGAACGAGGCCCUACCUUCGGGUAGGUGACCUAGUGGCGAACGGGUGAGUAACACGUGGGCAACCUACCCUCAGCUCUGGGAUAACCCCGGGAAACCGGAGCUAAUACCGGAUAUGACCUUGAACGACAUCGUUCUUGGUGGAAAGUUUUUCGGCUGAGGAUGGGCCCGCGGCCUAUCAGCUUGUUGGUGGGGUAAUGGCCCACCAAGGCGACGACGGGUAGCCGGCCUGAGAGGGCGAUCGGCCACACUGGGACUGAGACACGGCCCAGACUCCUACGGGAGGCAGCAGUGGGGAAUCUUGCGCAAUGGGCGAAAGCCUGACGCAGCGACGCCGCGUGGGGGAUGAAGGCCUUCGGGUUGUAAACCCUUUCAGCAGGGACGAAGCGAAAGUGACGGUACCUGCAGAAGAAGCGCCGGCUAACUACGUGCCAGCAGCCAC